Molecule: ribosomal RNA, 406 nt
Filed under: Burkholderia multivorans
Lineage: Bacteria; Pseudomonadati; Pseudomonadota; Betaproteobacteria; Burkholderiales; Burkholderiaceae
Description: bacterial SSU rRNA
Rfam family: Bacterial small subunit ribosomal RNA
Source: RNAcentral
UGGCGAACGGGUGAGUAAUACAUCGGAACAUGUCCUGUAGUGGGGGAAAGCCCGGCGAAAGCCGAAUUAAUACCGCAUACGAUCUACGGAUGAAAGCGGGGGACCUUCGGGCCUCGCGCUAUAGGGUUGGCCGAUGGCUGAUUAGCUAGUUGGUGGGGUAAAGGCCUACCAAGGCGACGAUCAGUAGCUGGUCUGAGAGGACGACCAGCCACACUGGGACUGAGACACGGCCCAGACUCCUACGGGAGGCAGCAGUGGGGAAUUUUGGACAAUGGGCGAAAGCCUGAUCCAGCAAUGCCGCGUGUGUGAAGAAGGCCUUCGGGUUGUAAAGCACUUUUGUCCGGAAAGAAAUCCUUGGCUCUAAUACAGUCGGGGGAUGACGGUACCGGAAGAAUAAGCACCGGCU